RNAcentral lists this ribosomal RNA (497 nucleotides) under uncultured bacterium. RNAcentral's name for it is "partial 16S ribosomal RNA". It matches the Rfam family "Bacterial small subunit ribosomal RNA", at positions 28 to 507 of the family's 1533-position model. The record is from RNAcentral.
GAUGAACGCUGGCGGCGUGCCUAAUACAUGCAAGUCGAGCGAACGGACGAGAAGCUUGCUUCUCUGAUGUUAGCGGCGGACGGGUGAGUAACACGUGGAUAACCUACCUAUAAGACUGGGAUAACUUCGGGAAACCAGAGCUAAUACCGGAUAAUAUUUUGAACCGCAUGGUUCAAAAGUGAAAGACGGUCUUGCUGUCACUUAUAGAUGGAUCCGCGCUGCAUUAGCUAGUUGGUAAGGUAACGGCUUACCAAGGCAACGAUGCAUAGCCGACCUGAGAGGGUGAUCGGCCACACUGGAACUGAGACACGGUCCAGACUCCUACGGGAGGCAGCAGUAGGGAAUCUUCCGCAAUGGGCGAAAGCCUGACGGAGCAACGCCGCGUGAGUGAUGAAGGUCUUCGGAUCGUAAAACUCUGUUAUUAGGUAAGAACAUAUGUGUAAGUAACUGUGCACAUCUUGACGGUACCUAAUCAGAAAGCCACGGCUAACUACGUG